GCCCCUAAAGAAUAAUAGUUAUCCACUGGCCUUAGGUGCCAGAAACUCUUGGUGCAACCCCAAGUAGAGGCU
This 72-nucleotide transfer RNA is filed under the name Monognathus jesperseni. Its description in RNAcentral is "tRNA-Leu (CUN)". It matches the Rfam family "tRNA". Rfam says of the family: Transfer RNA (tRNA) molecules are approximately 80 nucleotides in length. Lineage: Eukaryota; Metazoa; Chordata; Actinopteri; Anguilliformes; Monognathidae. The record is from RNAcentral.